Molecule: ribosomal RNA, 427 nt
Filed under: uncultured prokaryote
Description: bacterial SSU rRNA
Rfam family: Bacterial small subunit ribosomal RNA
Source: RNAcentral
UGAGGAAUCUUGCGCAAUGGGGGAAACCCUGACGCAGCAACGCCGUGUGAGUGAUGAAGGUUUUCGGAUCGUAAAGCUCUGUUUGAAGGGACGAAACGUAUUUGAUUAAUACUCAAAUAACUUGACGGUACCUUCAGAGGAAGCACCGGCUAACUCCGUGCCAGCAGCCGCGGUAAUACGGAGGGUGCAAGCGUUGUUCGGAAUUACUGGGCGUAAAGGGCGUGUAGGUGGCUAAUUAAGUCAGGUGUGAAAUCCUUCCGCUUAACGGGAGAAGUGCACUUGAAACUGCUUAGCUAGAGUACGGGAGAGGAAGGUGGAAUUCCUGGUGUAGAGGUGAAAUUCAUAGAUAUCGGGAAGAACACCGGUGGCGAAGGCGGCCUUCUGGCCCGAUACUGACGCUGAAACGCGAAAGCGUGGGGAGCAAACA